RNAcentral lists this long non-coding RNA (4915 nucleotides) under Homo sapiens (human). Its description in RNAcentral is "HSALNT0349297". Lineage: Eukaryota; Metazoa; Chordata; Mammalia; Primates; Hominidae. The record is from RNAcentral.
GUGAUCCACCAGCCUCGGCCUCACAAAGUGCUGGGAUUACAGGUAUGAGCCACCACGCCCAGCCUGCAAACAUAUGUUGAACUCUUUGCACAGUGCCCUGCAUGAGAUAGAUGACAGCUCCUUCUUCCAUGUUGUUAAUUUGGUGUGAGUAUAUGUUAUAUGUAUGUAUAUGCAAGAUAAUAAUCUUCUUGUAACCACUGACAGGCCUUUUUGUGAAUGAUGAUGGAAAAAGCAAGAACCUUGUCCAGGUUCCUCUCCAGGGAGCAGGGGUGGGUUGUGAUUCUUGAUUUCAUUCCUUUAGAUAUGAAGAGUUUUCACACAGAGGCAGCACGAAUUUGUCUCUCUCCUAGAGGGUGGGGAGAGUUGCUGGGUGGAUAUAACUGCAUCACAGCCUUUCUGGGUAAACUGGCCACUCCCUACUGAUUUGUUAUCAUGCUAAAUGUGUCUCCUCCCUUCCUUUCUGGAGCUUUUGCAGCUGUUCCUGGAAGGAGACCCAGUUGAAAGGGGUUGUUAUGGACCAGGAACAGCUGGGAUCUUUAAUGAUCUGUGAGCAGCUUACAGCAAAGUUCCAACACCCUGAGUAUCAGUCCCCAAAUCCUUGGUCUUUGCAUUCCAACACAAAGUAAAAAGGAUUGAGCAGGGUUUUGGUUUUGGUUGCAAGUAACAGAAACCCAACGCUAAUUAAUAAACGGGAAAGUGUGUCAGUGGAAAUGUAAGUAAGAAGAGAUUUCAUUUACUGGCCAAUUCAAAAGAUGACAAGCUUUAGGCGUGGCUCAGUCCAGUGGCUCAUGAUGUCUUCAGGACUCAGUGUUUCUCUGUUGUCAUCUCUUAGUUCUAUUAUUUUUUCUGUGUUGGUUCAUUAUGAGGUUUCCUUUAGAGGGUGGCAGAGAAAGCCACUAGUUGCUUCAAGUCUUUAUUUUACCAGCUCCACAAGUCCGACGGAAAGAGAAAACUGCUUUCCCAAAGGGUGUAAGAGGAUGAAAGGCAUGUCAUCAGCUGAAUUGCAUCAGGUGUCCAUCUUGGAAUCAAUCACGGUGCCUCUUAUUAGCAAAGCCUGAGUCAUAGGUGAGUCUAUACUUGGAUGGGGUAGUAAGGAAAUCCCAUGUUGAUUGCAUGGAUGGAAAGUGGGGGUGUUGUGGUUUCAUAAUGGCUUAUUAGGGUUCAAUAAUCAGAACACCAAAUAAUCCAUGCUGGGAGGUAAAAAUUGCAGAUAUUUUACUUUAUGCCCCAAACUAGACUUCAAAUCUGUGCUGCUCUUCCAAUCAUGAAUCCGCAGAACAGAGGAUAGAAAGUUCAGGUCAAUUCAAAUUUGACAAACACUUUCCGAGCACUUACUAUGUGCCAAUAUCCGUGGGAGGCCCUGGGAAACCAAAGAUGAAUGAAACACAAACUCUGAUGUCAGAGACCUCACAGUCUGGUGUUUAAGACGAUAAUAGUCUGGAUUAGAUUCUGGUGUGAUGAGAUGGAUUGUCUCAUAAAAAACAGAGGGAAGGGAUUAUUUAACUCUGAUGGGUGGCUGGGUGCUGAGAAGACCCUCAGAGGGUGUAACCUUUGAGUCUUAAGGAGGAUUAAGUUUAAAGGGGAUUUUGUUGGAGGAUAAGCAUCAAGGAAAGCAUUCCAGGAAGAGAGACGGGCAUAUGCAAAGGUAUAGUGUUGUGACCUCUGAUUAAAUAUGGAUGAGACAGGACAGGGAAAAACACACUUGUUAGAUUGUGGCAAAUGCCCAUGUGAAGUGAUUAAGUGACUGAAAUUGGGCAGAGGUGGUGUGCUGGUAGAUUCUAAGGUGACCCCAGUGAUCCAUGCCUUGUAAAAUCUUCUCCCCUGUGAGUGCUCCUUGGUGAGCAGGUGAUGUUAUAUUGGGAGAUUGACUAUAAGAAGGGGAGACUAUCUGUGUGGUCCUGGCCUAAUGACAUGAAUCCUUUAAGAGCAGAGCUUUCUCCAGCUGGUAGAAAAAGGGGAAGUAUGAGACUUAAAGGUGGAGGUGGCCCCAUGGAAAAGACCUAAGGGUAGCCUGCGGGAACUGAGAGAAAACCCCAACUGGCAGCCAGCAAGAAAACAGGGACCUUAAUCUUACGACCACAAGGAACUGGACUCUGCUACCAGAAUGAGCUGCAAGGGAGAUUCUUCCUCAGAAGCUUCAGAUAAGAACUCCACCUGGCUGACCUUUGAUUUUGGUUUUGUGAGAACUUUGGCAGAUAACCCAGGCAUGUGUCAUUUCACAUCUGCAUAAAAAGACAUGCUGAAGGAUGUUCCUUGCAGAAUGGUUAUAGAGAAAAAUGGGAAUAACCACGAUAUAAAGUAACAGGAUUUCAACAGUGAAGGAGACCUGAGAAACCAUAAAAUCAAUCUCUCAAAUUGAAGUUGAAAAAAGCAAAUCAUCUCUCACACCCACCCUGAUUGGUAAUAAUUAACUUGGCAAUACUUCAGUUACUCUUUCAUUAAGCAGUUCUCCUAGAUAUCGAAUUUAUGUUAGUUUAUUUAUUGGAUUCAUCCUAAGCAUUCAAGGUACUUUUGAAGGAUAUGAGGCAAACUGUUAGCAUCAUUUAACAUUUAUUGAAUUGUAGCAUCCACAUAACUUAGAGCAGACACAAGACUUAAUGAGAAAAGCAAGACAUUAUUCCUGUUUUAUAGAGAGUAACCAAGGCCAACAGGUAGAAAGAAGACUUGCCCAAAGUCAGACAGAAAAUGUUGAGAGGAGAUUAGGACCCACUUAGGUUAUUUUUGGUAGAUUGCUCUUUUCACUUAUACAUAGCUGAGUUUGCCAGGAAUAAAGAAAAUAUACUGAACAUGAACAGUUAAUUGAGAUGCUUAAGCGUAAACACAUGGAGGGGUGGUAGGUAAGCGCUUGUGUUGACUCAGCCAUCAUUCUGUUUGUGUGUGCCAAUCAGUCUCUGCCAGUUGGUAUCAGUCAUUAUCCAAUGAGAGAAAUGAGAGCUAGGAAAAGGGGAGUGAGCCCCGAUUAUCUUUUAUAAGUAUAUAAAUUGAUGGCUAUGGUAGGAUUUUUCUCAAUGUGGAAACUCGAAGUUCUGUGCCUAAGUUUUAUUUCAAGAAACAUUUUGUUUGUGUCAAUAGAUCCAGAGCCAAUGGGUUCAUUUAAAACUCUCUUUCAUGAUGGCAAUGAAUAAAAGAGGAUCCUAGACCAUCAGAAGAUUUUAGCCUUGGAGCUCCCCACCGUCCUAACACACACAGAUAGAGCUGGCUCCGAACUCUGCUGCUUCCAUGGUCGUGGCUACCUACUACUCUGUUCCUACUUCAUCUUCACUGUGAUUUUUGUCCAUAUGUCAGACUGAAGCAGACUGCUUAGGGCCUUGGGUUGAGGGAGCUUAUAGAACCUUGGGAACCAGGAACCCUUUAGGACCCUGUGAACUACAAGUCUGCUAUUUUAGGAAGUGGAUAAAAUGGCAUUUUGACAGAUCUGGAGGGUCUUGGAUCUACCUUUCAACAUUGGCAUUACUGAUAUUAGAGUACCACCACUCACUAGCUGUGGAGAUGUAGGAAGAUUACUUAACCACUCAGAGCCUUGGUUUCCUCAUUUGUUAUGUGAAGAUGACAAUAUCAGAUGACAGGUGAUACCAGGACUGCAGAGAGAGGUUUUCAUCUAGAACCCGGAAAGGAAAAAGUUGAGCCAUUAUCCGGAACUGAAGGAUGAGCUAAUUGGAUGGGGAGGCUUAGGGGCAUGGACAACCAGCUUGGAGUCUGAGUCGUUAUCCCACUGAGCCAUCAGUCUCAGGACAAGAGCGAGUGCCUUCACCUCAUUCCCUUAAAGCCUGUAGUCUGACCCACAACAGAAAGAGAGUUUCUGUUCUGCCACAUCUCGCUAUGUGUACUCAGGCAAUUUACUUAUCCCCUCAAGGACUUAGUUUCCUAAUCUGCAAAAUGGGUGACAGAAGAAUGAUCAGGUUAUUGGUGUCCACUGGAAGUCACUCAAGCACAAACAGAUGAACGGACUGGGAGCGUGGAAAAGAGCUAUGUUUUUGCUUUCCCUGCAUCCACCCACUGCUUCAUCCAGAGCAUUUCUGUUUCCUAUAUGGAUUAUGUGUCUGCAUCCCAGGGUGAUAUUAGGUCUGAACAAAGGACUUCAAAGCUAAGAUGGAAAACCCACUGGCUUUGGCAAUCUCUAGGGUUGCUUCUACUUAUUUUCUGUUUCUGUUUGUCAUGAAGUCACAUGAGAGAAUGUUGUACUGAAGACAUGAUGGGAAAGGGGCCCAAAUAGAAAUUAAUCUAAAAAACGAGUGUGCCAAGAAUAGAAGGGUUUUGGGUGAGGGGACCCUCAGGUCUUGCUUAGAAGGUGGUAGUGGAAAAUUCCACACCUCACUGGAAGGGGCUGUUUCUUCCUGCCUCCUUCACAUUGAUCUCUCUCAAAUGUAAAACCGAUCCUUCCCACCUCAGAAUUGGGCCAAAUCUGGUUUGAAGCAUCCAUUUCUUGUGAAGAGUCUGUCCUGUGGUGUGUAAUUUAAUUUAUAAUAUAUUAUCAAAGACAGUAUAAUAAAAAUAGGUGCUGCUGGUUGCCCUAAUUGGGAUACACGUUAUAGGAAAUCGUUCACAGAGUUUAAUCAAAGAGCCACACUGCAAGGAAAGUUACUACAAGCAUCUAGCUGUCUUUAUCUACAAUUGACCCCAGAAGUUUAGACAUUAGCAUGUUUUUAUAAUUGGGUUUACAUUGAUAAAAUUGCUGGUAUUCAAAAUAUGUGGCUUGGCUAGAACUAUGAUAAAUGUUAUAGAAACCCUUCUGCACUUGUUUAAGGCAAAAUAAUGCAGGGCACUCAGUAGUCCAUAUUCUUCGCAGUGGUACCAAAGCUUGAUUCUGAAACUGUCCUUUGUCUAGCAACUGAUUCUGAGAUUGCUGGAUUAAUCCUCAAAGAUUAACAGAGGCUCACGCCUGUAAUCCCAGCACUUUGGGAGGCUGACGCGGGUG